RNAcentral lists this unclassified non-coding RNA (190 nucleotides) under Glomus sp. Its description in RNAcentral is "partial contains 5.8S ribosomal RNA and internal transcribed spacer 2". The stretch from base 1 to 65 matches the Rfam family "5.8S ribosomal RNA", at positions 84 to 154 of the family's 154-position model. Lineage: Eukaryota; Fungi; Glomeromycota; Glomeromycetes; Glomerales; Glomeraceae. The record is from RNAcentral.
GUGAAUCAUCGAAUUUUUGAACGCAAAUUGCACUCUCUUCGGAGAGUAUGCCUGUUUGAGGGUCAGCCUAAAAAAAAAACCGAAAUAGUUGCUGUUUCGCGGGGACAUUUGUUGGAAAUUUGGUAAUUUUAAACUUUUGGGUUUUAAUUUGUUUAAAUUUUUUUUUACGUAUAGACGAACGUUUAUAAGA